This 310-nucleotide ribosomal RNA is filed under the name uncultured Glomeromycotina. RNAcentral's name for it is "LSU rRNA". The record is from RNAcentral. Lineage: Eukaryota; Fungi; Glomeromycota.
UUGAAAGGGAAACGAUUGAAGUCAGUCAUGCCGGUGGGAAUCAACUUGAUGGAAACUCCGGGUGCACUUCCUUGUUCGGCAGGUUAGCAUCAAUUUCGGUUGUCAUCAAAAAAUUGAGGGAAUGUGACUUCUUCGGGAGUGUUAUAGACCUUAGUAAAUGUGAUAGCCGGGAUUGAGGAUUGCAGCGGAUGCUUUUGGGCUAGUCACCUACCUUCUGGCGGUUACCCUGCUUUCGAUAGCUUGCUAACGAUUGUGGGAUUACAGUUUAGAUGUGAAGAGUGAUCUUAUAUUCGUUAAGGAUGUUGACGUA